GAUGAACGCUGGCGGCGUGCCUAAUACAUGCAAGUCGAGCGAACGGACGAGAAGCUUGCUUUUCUGAUGUUAGCGGCGGACGGGUGAGUAACACGUGGAUAACCUACCUAUAAGACUGGGAUAACUUCGGGAAACCGGAGCUAAUACCGGAUAAUAUUUUGAACCGCAUGGUUCAAAAGUGAAAGACGGUCUUGCUGUCACUUAUAGAUGGAUCCGCGCUGCAUUAGCUAGUUGGUAAGGUAACGGCUUACCAAGGCAACGAUGCAUAGCCGACCUGAGAGGGUGAUCGGCCACACUGGAACUGAGACACGGUCCAGACUCCUACGGGAGGCAGCAGUAGGGAAUCUUCCGCAAUGGGCGAAAGCCUGACGGAGCAACGCCGCGUAGUGAUGAAGGUCUUCGGAUCGUAAAACUCUGUUAUUAGGGAAGAACAUAUGUGUAAGUAACUGUGCACAUCUUGACGGUACCUAAUCAGAAAGCCACGGCUAACUACGUG
Molecule: ribosomal RNA, 496 nt
Filed under: uncultured bacterium
Lineage: Bacteria
Description: partial 16S ribosomal RNA
Rfam family: Bacterial small subunit ribosomal RNA
Source: RNAcentral